GUUCUACAGCACGGUGGAAAGCCUUGCAAAGUCUCUAUUGCACUAUUCGUCGACUAUUCGUACUAUUCGUCGACUAUUCGCGGACUAUUCGUACUAUUCGUUGACUAUUCGCGGACUAUUCGCACUAUUCGUCGACUAUUCGCGGACUAUUCGCACUAUUCGUCGACUAUUCGCGGACUAUUCGCACUAUUCGUCGACUAUUCGCACUAUUCGCUUCACUAUUCUAGUUUUAUCAAUUGCCGUUGUUUCAUAUACGCAAAGGCUGUCGGGUUUUAAAGCAAUUUAUAUAAAAUCAAUAUUUAAAACAAACUUACCUUCGUUAACGUCGACUCCCUUCUUUUAGCCGAUUCUUUCGCCAUUUCUUUCUUGAAAUUUACAAAAUCUUG
Molecule: non-coding RNA, 386 nt
Organism: Paramuricea clavata
Lineage: Eukaryota; Metazoa; Cnidaria; Anthozoa; Malacalcyonacea; Plexauridae
Source: the annotation of a GenBank genome assembly